This 2925-nucleotide ribosomal RNA is filed under the name Escherichia coli. RNAcentral's name for it is "bacterial LSU rRNA". It matches the Rfam family "Bacterial large subunit ribosomal RNA". RNAcentral also lists the same sequence under 9 other names. Lineage: Bacteria; Pseudomonadati; Pseudomonadota; Gammaproteobacteria; Enterobacterales; Enterobacteriaceae. The record is from RNAcentral.
GGGUUGUGAGGUUAAGCGACUAAGCGUACACGGUGGAUGCCCUGGCAGUCAGAGGCGAUGAAGGACGUGCUAAUCUGCGAUAAGCGUCGGUGAGGUGAUAUGAACCGUUAUAACCGGCGAUUUCCGAAUGGGGAAACCCAGUGUGUUUCGACACACUAUCAUUAACUGAAUCCAUAGGUUAAUGAGGCGAACCGGGGGAACUGAAACAUCUAAGUACCCCGAGGAAAAGAAAUCAACCGAGAUUCCCCCAGUAGCGGCGAGCGAACGGGGAGGAGCCCAGAGCCUGAAUCAGUGUGUGUGUUAGUGGAAGCGUCUGGAAAGGCGCGCGAUACAGGGUGACAGCCCCGUACACAAAAAUGCACAUAUUGUGAGCUCGAUGAGUAGGGCGGGACACGUGGUAUCCUGUCUGAAUAUGGGGGGACCAUCCUCCAAGGCUAAAUACUCCUGACUGACCGAUAGUGAACCAGUACCGUGAGGGAAAGGCGAAAAGAACCCCGGCGAGGGGAGUGAAAAAGAACCUGAAACCGUGUACGUACAAGCAGUGGGAGCCUCUUAAUGGGGUGACUGCGUACCUUUUGUAUAAUGGGUCAGCGACUUAUAUUCUGUAGCAAGGUUAACCGAAUAGGGGAGCCGAAGGGAAACCGAGUCUUAACUGGGCGUUAAGUUGCAGGGUAUAGACCCGAAACCCGGUGAUCUAGCCAUGGGCAGGUUGAAGGUUGGGUAACACUAACUGGAGGACCGAACCGACUAAUGUUGAAAAAUUAGCGGAUGACUUGUGGCUGGGGGUGAAAGGCCAAUCAAACCGGGAGAUAGCUGGUUCUCCCCGAAAGCUAUUUAGGUAGCGCCUCGUGAAUUCAUCUCCGGGGGUAGAGCACUGUUUCGGCAAGGGGGUCAUCCCGACUUACCAACCCGAUGCAAACUGCGAAUACCGGAGAAUGUUAUCACGGGAGACACACGGCGGGUGCUAACGUCCGUCGUGAAGAGGGAAACAACCCAGACCGCCAGCUAAGGUCCCAAAGUCAUGGUUAAGUGGGAAACGAUGUGGGAAGGCCCAGACAGCCAGGAUGUUGGCUUAGAAGCAGCCAUCAUUUAAAGAAAGCGUAAUAGCUCACUGGUCGAGUCGGCCUGCGCGGAAGAUGUAACGGGGCUAAACCAUGCACCGAAGCUGCGGCAGCGACACUAUGUGUUGUUGGGUAGGGGAGCGUUCUGUAAGCCUGUGAAGGUGUACUGUGAGGUAUGCUGGAGGUAUCAGAAGUGCGAAUGCUGACAUAAGUAACGAUAAAGCGGGUGAAAAGCCCGCUCGCCGGAAGACCAAGGGUUCCUGUCCAACGUUAAUCGGGGCAGGGUGAGUCGACCCCUAAGGCGAGGCCGAAAGGCGUAGUCGAUGGGAAACAGGUUAAUAUUCCUGUACUUGGUGUUACUGCGAAGGGGGGACGGAGAAGGCUAUGUUGGCCGGGCGACGGUUGUCCCGGUUUAAGCGUGUAGGCUGGUUUUCCAGGCAAAUCCGGAAAAUCAAGGCUGAGGCGUGAUGACGAGGCACUACGGUGCUGAAGCGACAAAUGCCCUGCUUCCAGGAAAAGCCUCUAAGCAUCAGGUAACAUCAAAUCGUACCCCAAACCGACACAGGUGGUCAGGUAGAGAAUACCAAGGCGCUUGAGAGAACUCGGGUGAAGGAACUAGGCAAAAUGGUGCCGUAACUUCGGGAGAAGGCACGCUGAUAUGUAGGUGAAGCGACUUGCUCGUGGAGCUGAAAUCAGUCGAAGAUACCAGCUGGCUGCAACUGUUUAUUAAAAACACAGCACUGUGCAAACACGAAAGUGGACGUAUACGGUGUGACGCCUGCCCGGUGCCGGAAGGUUAAUUGAUGGGGUUAGCGGUAACGCGAAGCUCUUGAUCGAAGCCCCGGUAAACGGCGGCCGUAACUAUAACGGUCCUAAGGUAGCGAAAUUCCUUGUCGGGUAAGUUCCGACCUGCACGAAUGGCGUAAUGAUGGCCAGGCUGUCUCCACCCGAGACUCAGUGAAAUUGAACUCGCUGUGAAGAUGCAGUGUACCCGCGGCAAGACGGAAAGACCCCGUGAACCUUUACUAUAGCUUGACACUGAACAUUGAGCCUUGAUGUGUAGGAUAGGUGGGAGGCUUUGAAGUGUGGACGCCAGUCUGCAUGGAGCCGACCUUGAAAUACCACCCUUUAAUGUUUGAUGUUCUAACGUGGGCCCCUUACCGGGGUUGCGGACAGUGUCUGGUGGGUAGUUUGACUGGGGCGGUCUCCUCCUAAAGAGUAACGGAGGAGCACGAAGGUUGGCUAAUCCUGGUCGGACAUCAGGAGGUUAGUGCAAUGGCAUAAGCCAGCUUGACUGCGAGCGUGACGGCGCGAGCAGGUGCGAAAGCAGGUCAUAGUGAUCCGGUGGUUCUGAAUGGAAGGGCCAUCGCUCAACGGAUAAAAGGUACUCCGGGGAUAACAGGCUGAUACCGCCCAAGAGUUCAUAUCGACGGCGGUGUUUGGCACCUCGAUGUCGGCUCAUCACAUCCUGGGGCUGAAGUAGGUCCCAAGGGUAUGGCUGUUCGCCAUUUAAAGUGGUACGCGAGCUGGGUUUAGAACGUCGUGAGACAGUUCGGUCCCUAUCUGCCGUGGGCGCUGGAGAACUGAGGGGGGCUGCUCCUAGUACGAGAGGACCGGAGUGGACGCAUCACUGGUGUUCGGGUUGUCAUGCCAAUGGCACUGCCCGGUAGCUAAAUGCGGAAGAGAUAAGUGCUGAAAGCAUCUAAGCACGAAACUUGCCCCGAGAUGAGUUCUCCCUGACUCCUUGAGAGUCCUGAAGGAACGUUGAAGACGACGACGUUGAUAGGCCGGGUGUGUAAGCGCAGCGAUGCGUUGAGCUAACCGGUACUAAUGAACCGUGAGGCUUAACCUUACAACGCCGAAG